RNAcentral lists this non-coding RNA (31 nucleotides) under Rattus norvegicus (Norway rat). The record is from RNAcentral. Lineage: Eukaryota; Metazoa; Chordata; Mammalia; Rodentia; Muridae.
UGCUAUGAAGUUUUCUCUAGUUAGGACCAGA